This 61-nucleotide transfer RNA is filed under the name Aegista diversifamilia. RNAcentral describes it as "tRNA-Tyr". The record is from RNAcentral. Lineage: Eukaryota; Metazoa; Mollusca; Gastropoda; Stylommatophora; Camaenidae.
AUUUAAAUAGCUUAAAUAAAGCGAAGGAUUGUAAAUCCCAAGUUGGCAUUGCCUUUAUGAG